UGAGUUCAUCUAUAUAAAGGAAGCUUAUGUAAAGAGUUUAAGAAUCUAAAUAUAUACAUCCCAUUGAAUUUCUCAAGUAGGAAGUAAGAAAUUAAAGGGCCAAGUAGUAAUUAGAUCCAAUAUCAUAUAAUGGCUAAGUUGUUUUGUGCUGCACCCGUUUUCGUUGCUUGUUUUGUCUUGCUGUUGAUUACGGUUUCCGUUUCUGCUGACCGGACUUGCAGAUUUGAUGGUGGAGCUUGGGGAACCAUAACCGAAGGAAGAGGCCCGUCUUGCCGGAGCUGUAUGUUAAAUUGCUUCAAGAACUGUGGGGAGAGCAAGUACAGGCAAGUGUACCAGCCCACAUGUGAUAUUAUGCCCGGGAACAUAAACGCAUGUCUAUGUUGUUGUAGUUUGGCAAAGAAAUUAUUCAACAUCAUUGAAGCAGGCCAAUAGAUCAUCCAAAAAUGCCGAAAUCAAGAUAACCUUUCGUACGAAAUUUGAGUUUGAGUAACCCAAAGUCAGAGAAGCUCUCGGAGCAAAGAAUUAAAGGAAUAAAAAAAGUAUAAAAUUGGUCGAUUAACCCGAUAACAAUAAUUCCCGGAUGAAAAAGACAUGUAAUAUUUGAUACUGUUUAAAUAGACGAGAAUGUAAAAAU
This is a long non-coding RNA of Papaver somniferum (opium poppy), 634 nucleotides long. RefSeq lists it as uncharacterized. The record is from RefSeq and is a predicted model, not a curated record. Lineage: Eukaryota; Viridiplantae; Streptophyta; Magnoliopsida; Ranunculales; Papaveraceae. The transcript has 3 exons.